GGCUAACACAUGCAAGCGAGGGCGAUCGGGAGUAGCAAUACGUUGCCGGCGACCGGCGCAAGGGUGCGUAACGCGUGAGCAACAUGCCCGUAUCAGGGGGAUAAUCCAUGGAAACGUGGUCUAAUACCCCAUAGUAAUUAUGUAAGGCAUCUUAUAUAAUUUAAAGCUUUGGUGGAUACGGAUUGGCUCGCGUGACAUUAGCUGGAAUGGUAAGGUAACGGCUUACCAUGGCUACGAUGUCUAGGGGUUCUGAGAGGAAGGUCCCCCACACUGGAACUGAGACACGGUCCAGACUCCUACGGGAGGCAGCAGUGAGGAAUAUUGGACAAUGGAUGGAAAUCUGAUCCAGCCAUGCCGCGUGCCAGGAAGACGGCCCUAUGGGUUGUAAACUGCUUUUGUAUGGGAGCAAUAAGGGCUACGUGUAGUCCGAUGAGAGUACCAUACGAAUAAGCACCGGCUAACUCCGUGCCAGCCGCAGC
Molecule: ribosomal RNA, 479 nt
Filed under: uncultured bacterium
Lineage: Bacteria
Description: bacterial SSU rRNA
Rfam family: Bacterial small subunit ribosomal RNA
Source: RNAcentral